UACGUAGGCAGCGAGCGUUGUUCGGAAUUACUGGGCGUAAAGAGUGUGUAGGCGGCGCUCGAAGUCUGGUGUGAAAUCUCCCGGCUUAACUGGGAGGGUGCAUUAGAAACUGGAAUGCUAGAGGAUGGGAGAGGUAAGCGGAAUUCCUGGUGUAGCGGUGAAAUGCGUUGAUAUCAGGAGGAACACCGGUGGUGUAGACGGCUUUCUGGACCGUAACUGACGCUGAGACGCGAAAGCGUGGGUAGCAAACAGG
This 253-nucleotide ribosomal RNA is filed under the name uncultured bacterium. RNAcentral's name for it is "partial 16S ribosomal RNA". It matches the Rfam family "Bacterial small subunit ribosomal RNA", at positions 524 to 776 of the family's 1533-position model. The record is from RNAcentral.